Long non-coding RNA from Dreissena polymorpha, 379 nucleotides. RefSeq lists it as uncharacterized. The record is from RefSeq and is a predicted model, not a curated record. Lineage: Eukaryota; Metazoa; Mollusca; Bivalvia; Myida; Dreissenidae. The transcript has 3 exons.
CAUACCACUCUAAGGACCUUUAAAAUAUCGAUGUUGUGUUUAUACGCGUUUAGUUCUGGAUAUUUUGGCAACUUAAAUCUCAGCCUGUCUGUUCUGAUUGUACCAUAAACGAAGGGAACCAUGAGCUCGUCUUCAAUCAAGCUGACAAUAGCGCUUGAUAUCGGUGCUCGCCAUUCCGGUUACGCCUAUUCCCUCACGGAUGACCCCGGUAACGUGGUUUGUAGCUCGUUUGGUGACGUCACAAGGACGGCUUCUAGUAUACUGCUUAACAAAGACGGUCAAUUCCUGUCAUUUGGACACGAUGCCGAGGCUCAGUUCCAGACGACAAAGUUAGCAGGAAGUCAGAUUGGUCUGCUUUACCGAAACUUCAAGCGUGCCC